GCUCGAAUGGUGGAAUAGGUAGACACGCCGGACUUAAAAUCCUGUGGCCAGUAAUGGCCGUGCCGGUUCGACCCCGGCUUCGAGUA
Molecule: transfer RNA, 86 nt
Filed under: Alistipes sp.
Lineage: Bacteria; Pseudomonadati; Bacteroidota; Bacteroidia; Bacteroidales; Rikenellaceae
Also listed under: 1 other name
Description: tRNA-Leu
Rfam family: tRNA
About the family: Transfer RNA (tRNA) molecules are approximately 80 nucleotides in length. Their secondary structure includes four short double-helical elements and three loops (D, anti-codon, and T loops).
Source: RNAcentral